This 961-nucleotide non-coding RNA is filed under the name Euchoreutes naso (Long-eared jerboa). RNAcentral describes it as "12S ribosomal RNA". It matches the Rfam family "Bacterial small subunit ribosomal RNA". The record is from RNAcentral. Lineage: Eukaryota; Metazoa; Chordata; Mammalia; Rodentia; Dipodidae.
AAACGAAAGGUUUGGUCCUGGCCUUUUUAUUAGUUACUAGUAAACUUACACAUGCGAGACUCCUCAUGCCAGUGAAAAUACCCUUAAAUAUCUGCCACUGAUUGUAAGGAGUGGGUAUCAAGCACACUAAAGUUGCUCAAGACACCUUGCCUAGCCACACCCCCACGGGAAACAGCAGUGAUAAAAAUUAAGCAAUGAACGAAAGUUUGACUUAGUUAUACUAUUUAGGGUUGGUCAAUAUCGUGCCAGCCACCGCGGUCAUACGAUUAACCCAAACUAAUAAACUUACGGCGUAAAGCGUGUUUAGAGAACUACAGCAAAAUAAGGUUAAAUUCUGACUAAUAUGUAGAAAUUCAUAGUCUAGGAUAAAAUAAGCUACGAAAGUGAUCUUAUUAGACCUGAAGACACGAUAGCUAGGACACAAACUGGGAUUAGAUACCCCACUAUGCCUAGCCCUAAACAGAGAUAGCCUCCUAAUAAGGCUACCCGCCAGAGAACUACUAGCUACUGCUUAAAACUCAAAGGACUUGGCGGUACUUUAUAUCCACCUAGAGGAGCCUGUUCUGUAAUCGAUGAACCCCGCUAUACCUCACCACUUCUUGCUAAUUCAGCCUAUAUACCGCCAUCUUCAGCGAACCCCUAUAGGGAAAAAAAGUAAGCUCAAUAAUUUCCACAUAAAAACGUUAGGUCAAGGUGUAGCUUAUGAAGUGGGAAGCAAUGGGCUACAUUUUCUCUGCCCAGAACAUUAACGAUAACCUUCUUGAAAUAGAAGGAAUAAGGAGGAUUUAGUAGUAAAUUAAGAAUAGAGUGCUUAAUUGAAUGGAGCAAUGAAGUACGCACACACCGCCCGUCACCCUCCUCAAGUAUAUUUCUAUACCUAUUACAUAAUGCAGCAGAAUAACAUAUUAGAGGAGACAAGUCGUAACAUGGUAAGCAUACUGGAAAGUGUGCUUGGAUGAAU